CAAUAGCGUAUAUUAAAGUUGUUGCAGUUAGAACGCUCGUAGUCGGAUUUCGGGGCGGGCCGACCGGUCUGCCGAUGGGUACGCACUGGUCGGCGCGUCCUUCCUUCCGGAGACCGUCCCUACUCUUAACUGAGCGGGGGCGGGAGACGGAACUUUUACUUUGAAAAAAUCAGAGUGUUUCAAGCAGGCAGUGCGCUCUUGCAUGGAUUAGCAUGGGAUAAUGAAAUAGGACUUUGGUGCUAUUUUGUUGGUUUCGAACACCGAAGUAAUGAUUAAAAGGGACAGUCAGGGGCACUCGUAUUCCGCCGAGAGAGGUGAAAUUCUCAGACCAGCGGAAGACGAACCACUGCGAAAGCAUUUGCCAGGGAUGUUUUCACUGA
RNAcentral lists this ribosomal RNA (380 nucleotides) under uncultured eukaryote. RNAcentral's name for it is "partial 18S ribosomal RNA". It matches the Rfam family "Eukaryotic small subunit ribosomal RNA", at positions 592 to 976 of the family's 1831-position model. The record is from RNAcentral.